AUCUCAAAAUUGGCCAAGUCCUGACAGCAGGAUCUGUCAGGAUCUGUGAUUUGCUUCCUCUUCUUGGUGAAUUGAACAGCCUGCAGUGGAAAGUCCUAUCUCUCCUGCUGGGGAAUUUGAGGAGAAAGAGAACCUUAGUGCACUAUGUAAUAGAAAUAAGAUAAUGAAGUCCAAGACUGCAUGUUGCCCUUGGGCUGACACAGCCUGAAAGAGCCAGCCCUUUGUCUCUCUAUCUACAGCAGCAAAACCUUCCUGGAAUGUCAUUUGAGUUAUUCCACCCAGUGGUCCAAUUCACUUUCUCUCCUGGCACAUCAGCAAGUUACUUAUUAAGCAUCUACUGUGUACCCAAGAGCAAAUCCCAGGAUCAUUUGAGACUAGUGUAGAUGGAUAAGCCAGAACUGCCCAGGCAUGACCAAAAUAGAUGUUGUCAAACCCACCUGUCCGGAGGCUUCAAAGGCAAGGAACUGAAAAGUAUUUCUUUCCUUUUUUUUCCCCCUGAGUUAGCAUUUAGAGAAGUCACAGCCACGAGAAUGCUUUCAGAUUUACUUUCAUUUACAGAAGCAACCUGGCCAGAACACCAUGGUAUAAAACCCCCAAGUUUCCAAGAACAUCUCAGAGCUGCGGAAUUAACCAAAUAUCCUUGCGUGAGUUAGAAAACCCCUCCCCAAGAUGCCACAGCAUCAGAGGUUAAGGCACCCACCCUGAUUCCUAGUCCAGCAGAUGUGGAAGAGGCGGCCGAGAGCUCCAUGAACAUAAGAAACAGAUCCUCCGGUCAAGGCCCAGAGAACACCCAAGUGCAACACACAGGCCCUUUGGCCUUCAGAAUUCACCAAAUAUGAAGUCUAUGAAAUAGUUUCAAUGCC
RNAcentral lists this long non-coding RNA (863 nucleotides) under Homo sapiens (human). RNAcentral describes it as "HSALNT0232892". Lineage: Eukaryota; Metazoa; Chordata; Mammalia; Primates; Hominidae. The record is from RNAcentral.